Non-coding RNA from Acanthosepion pharaonis, 101 nucleotides. The record is from the annotation of a GenBank genome assembly. NCBI's taxonomy places the organism in Eukaryota, Metazoa, Mollusca, Cephalopoda, Sepiida, Sepiidae.
UUACGGCCAUAUCACGUUGAAACACCAGUUCCCAUAUGAUCACCGAAGUUAAGCAACGUCGAGCCUGAUCAUUACCUAGAUGGGAAAGCCAGGUGCUGUAA